UGGGGAAUAUUGCACAAUGGACGGAAGUCUGAUGCAGCAACGCCGCGUGCGGGAUGACGGCCUUCGGGUUGUAAACCGCUUUUUCUCAUGACGAAGUUUUUUGACGGUAGUGGGGGAAGAAGCACCGGCUAACUACGUGCCAGCAGCCGCGGUGAUACGUAGGGUGCGAGCGUUGUCCGGAAUUAUUGGGCGUAAAGAGCUUGUAGGCGGUUUGUCGCGUCGGUAGUGCAAACUCAGUGCUUAACGCUGAGCCUGCUGUUGAUACGGGGAGACUAGAGGAAGGGGAGGGAGAAUGGAAUUCCCGGGGGGGCGGGGGAAUGCGCAGAUAUCGGGAGGAACACCGGGGGCAAAGGCGGUUCUCUGGGCAUUUCCUGACGCUGAGAAGCGAAAGCGUGGGGAGCAAACAGG
RNAcentral lists this ribosomal RNA (408 nucleotides) under Fusobacteriota bacterium. Its description in RNAcentral is "Fusobacteria bacterium partial 16S ribosomal RNA". It matches the Rfam family "Bacterial small subunit ribosomal RNA", at positions 355 to 776 of the family's 1533-position model. Lineage: Bacteria; Fusobacteriati; Fusobacteriota. The record is from RNAcentral.